RNAcentral lists this non-coding RNA (110 nucleotides) under Betaproteobacteria bacterium. RNAcentral describes it as "Glycine sequence". It matches the Rfam family "Glycine riboswitch aptamer". Rfam says of the family: This family represents the bacterial glycine riboswitch. The record is from RNAcentral. Lineage: Bacteria; Pseudomonadati; Pseudomonadota; Betaproteobacteria.
ACCCCGGACUCUGGAGAGCAGGCGGAGGAUUCCGCCCACCGAAGGGGCUAGCGGCGCAGGGCAGGGUCCCGCGCUGUAAUCUCUCAGGUACCCGGGACAGAGGGGUUGUG